This is a long non-coding RNA of Salvelinus fontinalis (brook trout), 10729 nucleotides long. RefSeq lists it as uncharacterized. Lineage: Eukaryota; Metazoa; Chordata; Actinopteri; Salmoniformes; Salmonidae. The transcript has 4 exons. The record is from RefSeq and is a predicted model, not a curated record.
GGGUCGCAGUUGUAUGCACGACUUUUGGUACAAACAAACAUAAUAGGCUAUGUCUGGCCCACAAAUUCGUUGUUUUUUCAAUGUGGCACUUGCGCUGAUUGAGUGACACCCCUGUCCUAGAUGACUGUCAAGAGAUUCAAAAUGGAAACCAGGUGGAUCAGUUGAGGACAGUGUGGUCGGCUCUCAGACCCUCGUGAGGUCUGAGAGCAGGAAAGGCAGGGACUGGAGAGACUGGACAACAUGCAAAAAGGGCUGAUGGACAAUCACACCCUCCCAGCCUAGGAUGAACCUGGCGUUGGCCUACACUGAGCUGACAGAGGAGCUGGGUCGUGUGAGAGGUCUGGCUGUCAGACAGACUGAGAUCCUGAGGAAGGCAUCCCACAAGCAGAUGGGGCGGAGGAGAUACGAACACACGGCAGGCCGGUGCUAUUUUCCAGCCAGUCAGCAGGAUGUGCAUCAUAGUUCAUUGUGGGGGACGAACCAAGGCACCGACCAAGCUGCUCCUGUUUUUACAGGAAGGGGUAAAAAUAACCAAUCGACAAAGGUUCCACCAUCCGGGACUUAGGGCCGGGGCCGGGGGUUGGGCCGGCAUAACAUGAAAAACUCCUGUUAUGUUUGUUUGUUUGUUUUUAGAUAAAAGGAAAACAGCAAUUUGCACACAACAAGCAAGGAUGCUCUUUGAGGUUGUGUUCCCGGAUCUUUGGUCAAAGUACUGUAGUUAUUUUGUUAUUAACAGGUUAUAAUCACCUGAAAUAUCAUUUUCAACCACUAUGCCAUGCCUAUGCGGUUUUGUCAUAACAGUAUUCUUGUGUUUUAUUGUUGGUUGACAACAUUGUAGUACCAAAGACAUGACCUCAGUUCAUGCCAAGGACUUCUCAGCAGACUGACUUACCCACACAAACGUCCAGGCUGCAGCUCUCCCUGUGUCUCCAAUGAGUGGGCCUUUACUGCAGGACAGGGCUCGAACAGGAGACUGUGGUCAUGAACGGUUAUUAAGGCGCUUGAUUCCAAUCCUUAGAGUUCAUGGUGACUACAUGCAAUGUCGCACGACCCGACCCUUCACACUCCAACUCCGUCACGCCAUGGCCAACAACACGCAUGCACGCACAAACACUACGUCACCCCGCCACCCACGAAUGUUCCACGGCUAAACUGAGUCACAUGAUGCAAUGGCUUGUACUGACUUUUGGUCAAUAGCAGCUUACACACUACACAGACAGGUGGACGCAUUCAUAGACAUACAGGCAUGAUGUGCUUAUAUACAGUGCCUUCCAAAUGUAUUCCGACCCUUUACUUAUUGUGUUACAGCCUGAAUUCAAAAUAGAUUAAUUGUUUAAAAAAACAACCAUUUUCAUGCCUUGCCGUAGAUUUUCAAGUAGAUUUAAGUCAAAACUGUACCUCGGCCACUCAGGAACAUUCACUGUCUCCUUGGUAAGCAACUCCAGUGUAGAUUUGGCCUUGUGUUUUAGGUUAUUGUCCUGCUGAAAAGUGAAUAUAUCUCCCAGUGUCUGUUGGAAAUCAGACAACCAUGUGCUUAGCUUCAUUCCGUUUUUGUGUUUUGUUUUUACCCAUAACAUGAUACAGUCACCACUAUGCUUGAAAAUAUUGAUAGUGGUACUCAGUAAUGUGUGUAUUGGAUUUGCCCCAAACAGAACAUUUUGUAUUCGGGGGAAAAAGGUUAAUUGCUUCGCCACAUUUUUUGCAGUAUUACUGUAGUGCCUUGCUGCAAACAGGAUGCAUGUUUUGUAAUAUUUUCAUUCUGUACAGGCUUCCUUCUUUUCACUCUCUCAAUUAGGUUAGAAUUGUGGAGUAACUACAAUGUUGUUUAUCCAUCCUUAGCUUUCCCCUAUCAAAGGCAUUGCACUCGGUAACUGUUUUAAAUUCGCCAUUGCCCUCAUGGUGAAACCCCUGUGAUUUCCUUCCUCUCCUCGGCUGAGUGAAGAAGGACGCCCGUAUCUUUGGGUGUAUUGAUACACCAUACAAUCACUACAAAGUGUAAUGAAUAACUUCAACAUGCUGAACGGGAUAUUCAGUGUCUUUUUUUUCUUCAUUUUUUUGGUCCUUCAUCCCUUCUGCCAAUAGAAACCCUUCUUUGCGAGUCAUUUGGAAAACCUCCCUGGUCUUUGUGGUUGAAUCUCUGUUUGAAAUUCACUGCUCGACUGAGGGACCUUACAGAUAAUUGUAUGUGUGGGGUACAGAGAUGAGGUAGUCAUUAAAAAAUCACGUUAAACACUAUUAUUGCACACAGUCAGUCCAUGCUACUUAUGUGACUUGUUAAGCACAUUUUUACUCCUGAAUAUAUUUAGGCUUGCCAUAACAAAAGGGGUUGAACACUUACUCAUUUCAGCUUUUCAAUUUUAAUUCAUUUGUAAACAUCAUUCCACUUUCACAUUAGUCAAGGGGUGUGAAUACUUUCUGAAGGCACAGCAUAUUACAUUUAUUUUAGGCCUAUUUGAUGACUUUAUUAAUUCAUUCCAAGUCAACAUAUCCUCUAUAUAGAGCUGCUGCCUGACAAAAAAAUCACUAUUUUAGUAGGUCUUCAAAGUAAAUAAGGCAUACUUUUACGACUGCUGAAACCCAACUAUCAAUCUUAGAUCGAGUAUCGAUACCUCACGAAGCAACCGCUCUCUAUACCUCUCGAUCGCACGUUCUUCUGUCUCUUCUCUUCUCUCCGUCUCAGACCAGACAAGUAGGCGCGCAAUGGAUUAUGGCCAUUAUAGUUAAUUAACACGUUUUCUGCGCUAAACUAUAUAGAAUAUUGGCCUGUUGGAAAAUACAACUCCCUACUACAAAUCACAUAGCUCGGGCUUGAUCUGAUUUAUCUUUAGAGAAACUGCGCAUUGCCCUCACAGAAAACCCCCUGAACCAAAUGGUAUUCAAAUAAUUGAACCGAUGUCAGUUAAAUCGCUCAGCACUAGCCAUUUGGGACACAGACCUGAAAGGCCAAGCUGAGUCCGCACAGGAAACGAGAGGACAUGGACGACGCAGGGAUAUGAGCACACAACUCUGGAAUUCAAGGAUGUUUGAUGCCCCCUCCCCCCUACAUUGAUUGAGGUGUUUGUGUUGCCUCCUGUUAUUGUUAAGACUGAGGACUAAGAAAAAGAAGAACAUUUAAUUGAGUCAAAAUAAGCUCUGUUGCUACUAGCAGCGCCAAGCGCCCCUAACCCACGACUCACCCCCGUGUUCAAAAAGAAGAAAGGCUAUAGAUGAAUAAUUUCAGACAGGUUUAGAAUGAAAAGGAGGAAAAGGCUGUCUUGUAGUUAGGGCAGUAAUUCAUAAAGCGGCCAUGCAGUGACCAAGUUGUUUUGUUUCACACAAUGGAAACUGAUUUUGUUCAGCCCCUUCAGUCACACAUAGCUCUGCAGGCAUUUCCUGACUCACUAUUAAACUCCUAAACACUUAGGCUGCUAGGCAUAUACUGCAAAAAAGCAGAUUGAACACAGAAUAGUAAAGCACAAAAUGCUGUGGGAGAUGAGUUAGCCUUCAUUUCUGAGUCCAUGUUUUAUGUUUGUCUGUCUAGUUGUGUGUGUCAGUCUGGAGCAACCUGUCAUUCUGUCUGUCUAAAUGUCUGCAUCUCCUCUUCUGCUUGUAAUUCCAUCUGUAUCUGGUCUAAGUAGUAGUGUGGCUCACUCUCAUGUGAUCCUCUUCGCCUCACCAGACGGUUCUCCCCGGCUCUCCCUAUCCUAUCAUCACCGCUGAGCUGACUAACUACCUACGCACGGCAGCAGACUUUGGCCCGGGGCAUUCCAAUUCCAGUAAAUGGUUUUGUUUGCGUAAUGUCUCUUAUAAGACGAGUCACCCCAUCUGAACUCACACAUCCAUACUCACACUUAGCCUACCCACGGUGGUGCCUCGGUCGGUGCUGCAAAAGAUAGCGUCGUCGGGGGGGGAAAAAAUAAGUGUUUCGACUGAUAAAGAAUAUCACCUUCCGUACAGAAUAUGUAUAUAUUUUUGUUUCAUUCCUUUCGCACUGAGGAAUGUUUUGAGUGACAAAAUACAGUAUGUGGGCCUUUUUUAUUUAACAAGCACAAACAAGCUGUUAAGGAUUAUAGAUCAGCACUCCCAAGUCCUACCCUGAAAUGCUUGUGAUACACCCCAGCCUGCUCGAAGCUCACCGUGCUGGAGUAAACGAGAGAACUUCCCGUGCCAGCGUUAUGAUAGCUCUUAUUGAACUGGCCUAGUGCCAGACCACCUCCACAGAGGCUUAUGUUUCUUAAGGUGUUUCUACAACUGUCUCGUCUAGUGCAGCGUCUGCUGCUCACCAAAUCAGCCGGUGGAGGAAUAGAGCUGAGUAAAGAUUUCUCUGAUUGACUGUCUGUCUGUAAGGCACCACAACAAACUCAAAAGCCUGGUAGAAUUGACAACAGUGCGUUUGGGUGCCAAUAACCUGUCUGCCAAAUCUUUCCAUGACCAACUCUGAACACACUCCCUGUUUGUUGUGCUCUUGUCCUAGAAUAUCAUAAUGCGCACCGACGGAUAGUGUGUUUCUGUUUUGUUUUAGAUAAGCCUGCAACGGGGCUCUCUCUCUCCAGUAUUCCAACAGAUGUCCUAUAACUUGUUUGUUUUCGAGAGAAGAAGUCCGUCAAAUGAGUGACAGAAGGGAGGACAAAGCACGUGGUGCAUCACUGGAGAGGGGAGAAUCUCUCCCCUCACUCCUCUGGACUUCAAAGGUUACUGGGGUACCUAGGUUCAUCCAGCGACCAGCCAUAUCAAGGCUGACUGAUAAACAUUUGCACAGCCACCAGCAGCAGGGUCCUUUGCUACAUACACAGUGCUGUUGAAGAAUAUGGACAAGGACACAGAGUACUCCGCUACUUAUAUAAACAAGGGUGUGUGUGUUAAGAGUUUCAAAGGAACAAAAUGUUCAAGAUUGACACAAACAGACCAUAGCAUCAUGGACACUGCCUAUAGGUCUAGUUAAACUGGGUCAAAAAGGAAUCUGUAAGAAAACAUUGCAUUUAACCUGGUUUAGAAGGACAGUAAAUACAAUGUGCUGAAAUGAUCAUUAUAGGCAGUGUAAAUUAUUUUUGGGGACAUUUCUUUAGCAAGUCUAUAUGAUGGAAGACAAACCAUUCUUCAGUCCUUUAAUACUGGUAUAGUGUAGCUACAGAUACUCUGAUAUAACAGAUAUAUUUCUCCCUCACUGUUCUCCUUACAGGCCUGUCUGCCCACUCCUCCUAGCUUUCGUUCUUUGCCAACACGUCUUGUACAGAAACUAAACACGACCAGCAUUAAUUCUAAUGGGGUGGGGUACGGCCAAUAGGAGUGCGGUGCCACCCCAAAUGGGCACUGUGCCUAUAAAGUCACUGAGCGGGUUUGCCAGUCACAUUCCUUACACUCCAGUGACAGACUCUCUCUCUCUCCCCCUCUCCUCUACCAACCUCGCACUUAGAGCCGUCACUCACCCUAGUCAGGGGCUGUAUGUAGCCUAUCAAGCGUCUCAGAGUGCUGAUUUAGGAUAGGUUUACCUUUAAGAUCACAAUGGAUAAGAUGAUAUGGACAGGGGGUUUGCCAGUCGCAUUCCUUAAACUACAGUGACAGACACACACACAGACAGACACAUACACACAAUUCAGGUGGAACGGAAGUUGUUACACAUUCAGUUAUUUGUCAAUAUAUAAAUCUAAAACGUAAUCUAAAACCAAUGAACCAGCACAGCAUGGGGCUCCUGAGUGGCGCGUGGUCUAAAGCACUGCAUCUCAGUCAUAGAGGCGUCACUACAGACCCUGGUUCAAUCCCGGGCUGUAUCACAACCGGCCGUGAUCAAAUGUCCCAUAGGACGGCACACAAUUAGCCCAGCGUCGUCCGGGUUAGGGGAGGGUUUGGCCGGUGUAGGCCGUUAUUGUAAAAUAAGAAUUUGUUCUUAACUGACUUGCCUAGUUAAAUAAAGGUUAAAUCAAAUAAAUGAUGACUUGACUUUGAUACAGAGAUUUAAAUCACACUGCCCCUAGGUGUUUUUUUGUACCUGAUCUCUGGAACCUGCUGCUCUCCUUCUUCCCUUUCUCUCCUCCUUUCUUUCUUUCCCAGGGGCCUGCUGAGAGACACUUAACUGUUUCACAGUCAAUGAUUUACACCCGGGAGUGGAGACAGACCGCCAAAGCUUUGCUGGGCUGAGCCCAUCAUAACUGUACGCUGGCCUGAAAAGAAGACUAUAAUACUAUAGUCUUCCUAUACUAGAGGGGAACUUCAAAGUGAACCACAACAGCAGUAGCACGAACUGUGUGAGCAGCAGGUUAGCUUUCCUGAAUCAAUAACAAUUCUACUCUCUCUGUCUCUCUCUAUUCCUUCUCUUUCUCUCUGUCUGUCUUGCUCUUUAUUCCUUCUCUCGCUCGCUUUCUCUCUUUGUCUCGCUGCUUCAUUGGGAAGGGCUUGUGAGCAAGCAUUUCGCAGUAGAGUAUAUUCGAGCGCGUGUGACAAAUCAAAUUUGAUCUCUGAUACAUAUGCCCAUAGCUACAGCUUAAAAGUGGAUCCACAGAAACAUCCUCAUGGAAUGUUGACAAGGCGCUGUCUCAAGGGGAAUGAGGGCAGACGUUUUGUUGCGGCACGCAUAGGCAGACCAUGACUGUUACGUCUUGGAACACACCUCUGGAGUAGCUAAAUACAGGUAACUCUCCACAUCUAUUUUUAUCCUGAAGAAUGGAGGGGCCCCUGACGUCCAUUAGAGUAACAUAACAAUCGCAAGACUGCUAUGCUAAAACUUCAGCUAUAUAGUGGGUUGAAUAAGCGACACUAGUGAUGCACCGAUAUGACAUUUUUGGCCGAUACCCAAUAUUUUCCUUGCCAAAAAAAACGAUACCGAUAACCGAUAUUUAACAUUUUAGCGGCCUUUUAAGCAUUCUAGUACAGUUAAAUAGUUAACACACACACAGACGCAGCGGUCUAAGGCACUGCAUCUCAGUGCAAGAGGCGUCACUACAGUCCCUGGUUCGAAUCCAGACUGUAUCACAUCCGGCCCUGAUUGGGAGUCCCAUAGGGCGGCGCACAAUCCCGGCGUCAUCCGGGGUAGGCCGUCAUUGUAAAUAAGAAUUUGUUCUUAACUGACUUGCCUAGUUAAAUAAAAGUUACACACACACACUGACCAAAAAGUUAUUGUGUUGGCAUUUACGUAUGUUCCCAUUACCAGUAAAACAUCAUCAAAACCUAUUUCUUUCACUAACUUGCUGUGCUGUUUCGUUGUUCAUUUGUUCAGUCAUUUCAUUCUCAACCAGGAUGUCUAUGGAACACCGUUUGGGUCUUUGCGUGUCAAAUAAGCUUGUUGACCAAUCAGGACCUGAAUAUGACUACAUGUCACAAUAAUUUAACGCGUUCAUACAUUUUUUACGUAGUUAUUACACAUUGAUUACACUAUCACUCGUAUUUCAUAUGUCACAACGAUUCAUCGAUACGUAUGCUAUGAUGCUGGUAAAGUUGUCUCCUACAGUUCUGGUCAUAAAAAAAAGCUAGCUAGCUCAUGGAUGCAAACAAUGUUCCCCAAAAACAUAGCAAAACGCCAAUCUGUUUCAGUAGCUAUAGUUAGCUAGCUACCUAUAUAGCUAGGUGUCUUCUAAAAUAACCCUAAUUUAUAAGACAGUUCUUAUUUGAUUAAUGGUGGUCGGACCCAUCUAUGUGAAGCUAGCCACAAUAAGGAUUAGCCACAAUAGUGGACUUUGUGGUUAGCCUUCAAAAUAAAAGUAGGGCAUAAUUCUACUAUUUGUAUUCAUUUGCAUCACUGUCAAUAACAUACUUUUAUUUUGAAGGCAAAGUGCAAAUUCCACUAUUGUGCCUAAUCCUUAUUGUGGCUAGCUUCACAACACAAAACCCGGUCCGGUCGAGCAUCACUAGCCAGAUGACGCUAGCUGGCUGAUUAUAAGGUUAGCUUUGGGCAACAGGGUUAAGUAGCUGGCUAGUUAUUUAUUUUCAUGAACUGAAGUUCAGGCGAACAACAAGUGGCAACCUAGCUAAUACUUACUCACAAGGAUUCCUAAAUCAUUGCUAAGAAUAAUGAAAAUGACUGCAGUUUCUACUGGUCAAUGUUUUCAGGUUGGUUGUAUUGGUGCUAGCUAGGUACCAAGCUAAAGUUAGCUACCCCAGAAGUUGCGGUCGAACAAAUUGCUUUAUUACCAACGCGGUAUUGUAAAAACAUCGUUCGUGGCCGGUGUUUGCUUGUUUGCAGACUUUUUUGUACGGCUUUGACAGUGCCACGGUAUCUUUUUUGACACACAAAGACCCAAAUGGUGUUGCAUAGUAUCUAUGUCGUGAAGCUAAUUGCAGUGACGCUAUCACUGUGUAACUCCGGUAGGGCAACAUCUGAAAAAUAUCGCACUUGGUAGUGUGUACCGGUGCUCGACCAGUCGGCGAAAGCCAACAUCACCCAAGACAGAACAGUUGAUUGUCAAGGGCAAUGAAUUCCAUUAUCUUGGCUUUAAUGGCUUUCACCUUUGAGUUGUCUCGCUGAAAUGUUCUUACUCUUUCAAAUGACUGCUGGACUUGUUGACUGCUCGAUCCACACAACAGACAUUGUGGUCUAGGUUAGGAAUGCUGUGUUGCACGUGUAGGGCAAAAUCUUACGUGCCGUCAUUACGUCAUGUACCUACGUUAUAUAGGUAUGCACGUCAGCUUUGGCAUUGGUUUUGCACAUCGGCGUUAAACUAGACAUCGUCCGAUACCGAUGUUGGCAUUUUUAGCUAAUAUUGUCCGAUUCCAAUAUGUUCACCGAUAUAUCGUGCAUCCCUAAGCAACGCGGUUAUAAAGGCAGUUACAAUUACACAGUUAUCUGUGCCUGUGAGAAGGCCCCUAUUCGUGUCCUUAGAUGCAACAUUAAAAAAAAACAUUUAUAAAUGCCUUAUUUUAAAUUGUAUUACCAUAGCUUAAGUCUUUUUAGAUGAUUUGUGAAGCAUCUGUGUAGUACUUAUGAAUAGUUUAUGAAUGCUCUAGAAAGCAUUUAUGAUAAGCAAGAUUGUCCACCUUUUAAUUGAGAGAUGUGCUCUUCACUGGAAAAGGUCAUCACUCUGUGUAGACAGAAUUAACACUCCAGCUUUGAGAAACAAGUCAACUUCUCUGAAGUUGUCAGAGGGAUUAAUGCCCUCCGUCACUGCAACGGAUUUCCAUCAUAUGGAUUAUGGAGAUGUCGUUUUUGAGGUCAGUGUAGAUCUGCAUUUAAAAUCGACCAGGUAGGCCAGUUGAGAACAAGUUUGUAUGAUUGUUGCUAACACUCCAAUGUUCAGACAAAGGGAAAUGGUCUAUAAUGCGCACCACAGCAGCGCUCAACUCAGACAGAGGUGUGUAGCCUACUGUAGCUGCUGGCAAAGUAAUUCAAAGCCUAUAUCACUCAGGUGCAACUUUCCAGUGCUAAUAUUUUUGCCAUGUAAGGUUGUUAUUAAAACAAAAUCAGACAACCCCAUAGUAGAGUAGUUUACUUAUUUACCUAGUCGGCUUGUUGUGUGUUCAAUGUGAGAGAAGCAUUCCUCGAGGUGCAUUCAAGUUGCGAGAGCCAUAGGUAGGGCAACAUGACAAGCAGUCAAUGCGCAAUUCUUAAUGCAAUCACCGGGAAAACACUUCAAAUCAGUUUUGGCUAAUGUAUUUUGAAAACAGUUUUGGCUUUUGGUUAAACAAAAAAGAGGGGGAUCCAAGUUUUCCAUUGCUACCACUUUAUUUAAACCAGAGUUUCAAGCAUAGUGUACUUUUUGGUGAACGUCGGGAACCAAAUCACAUAAUCUGGCUCCCUGAUUUGCAUCAAUCAAAUCAGGGACCCCCUUUUUCUCUCAGAACAGCCUCACUUCAUUAGGGCAUGGGCUUCACAUGGUGUCGAUAGCAUUCUACAGGGAUGUUGACUCCAAUGCGUCGCACAGUUGUGUCAAGUUGGGUGGAUGUCCUUUGGGUGGUGGACCAUUCUUGAUACACACGGGAAACUGUUGAGAGUGAAAAACCCAGCAGUGUUGCAGUUCUUGACACAAACUGGUGCCACUGGCACCGACUGCCAAACCCGUUCAGAGGCACUUAAAUCUUUUGUCUUGGCCAUUCACUUGAAUGAGACACGUACACAAUCAAUGUCUGUCUCAAUUGUCUCAAGGCUUAAAAAUACUUAACCUGUCUCUCCCCCGCCCCCUCAUCUACACUGAUUUAUGUGGAUUUAACAAGUGACAUCAAUAAUGGGUCAUAGCUUUCACCUGGGCAGCGUAUGUCCUGGAAAAUGGUUUUCUUUAUGUUUUGUAUACUCGGUGUACUUUGCAAUAGAAACCCAAAAUAUAUAUUUUGAGUGAAUAAUAAUUAAUAAUGAUGUAUUUAUAAUAAAAAAAAUAACGAUGUAAUAACAAUCAGGAUGUUGCGUCCAAUAGGGUAAAUGCAUCAAUUGGGCUACAGAUGAUAAUGCUUAUUGCUAAUAGCAAAUCUGAUAAUACAGAGAGGACCACGGACCCACUAAGCAAGUGGACUGGAAUUGGUCAAGUAGGCCUAUAAAAUGAGCAUCUUUGUUACAUGAGGGAAAGUAAAGUUGGCCCCAGACAAUCGAUCUAAGAUACACAUUUUUAAAUCACUUCCCCGUGAUUUCCAAAUAACCCCACCUAUCCGUGAUUCUGCACUGCGGGACAUUGUGGCACAUAGUGAAUUAAUGACGUGGGCCACAAUUUAAUUGACUUGACACAGGGUAGCCUAUAAUUCAGGGGAUAAUUCAUAACGUGAUGGUUGUAAACUAGGCCUACGUAAUGUCCUAUUAGAUAUUAAGCGCGAAUGGAUGCUUAUUGCUUGCUUACCU